This 331-nucleotide unclassified non-coding RNA is filed under the name uncultured Ascomycota. RNAcentral describes it as "sequence contains ITS1". The stretch from base 1 to 105 matches the Rfam family "5.8S ribosomal RNA", at positions 50 to 154 of the family's 154-position model. Lineage: Eukaryota; Fungi; Ascomycota. The record is from RNAcentral.
GAAAUGCGAUAAGUAAUGUGAAUUGCAGAAUUCCGUGAAUCAUCGAAUCUUUGAACGCACAUUGCGCCCCCUGGUAUUCCGGGGGGCAUGCCUGUCCGAGCGUCAUUGCAGACCCCUCACGCCCGGCGUGUGUGUUGGGCCAUCGUCCCCUUGACUGUGUGGACGGGCCCGAAAGGCAGUGGCGGCACCGAGACCUUCGGCUGUCCUGAGUGUAUGGGCAACCCCUAGACCGCUCCGUGACCCGAUCGGUGGCCGACCGUCAGAUCGUGAGAUCGAAAACAUUUCUUUCCGGUUUGACCUCGGAUCAGGUAGGAAUACCCGCUGAACUUAA